AGGCGGAGCCUGAUGGCGCACGGCGCGGGCAGGCCGGGGGCGGGGGGAGCGCCGGUUGGUCAGCCGACCCCGGCCGCGGACUUCCCGCAGCGACCCGGGCUGCCUCGGCCGAAGCCGCCGAGGACAGCAGGGCACCGCGCGGCCCCGGACGUCUCCUGCAGCCGGGUUGCCAUCCCGGCCACCCCCCGCCCCGGCACCCCCAGGCUCCCCGCGUGCCCAGGCCGCGCCUCCCCGCGCCGCGCCUCCCCACCGCCGGGACCUGGCGACGUCACUGCGGCUCUGAGCGCGCUAAUGGAGGCACGGGCGGCGGCGGCGUGGCGCGGGUGUCCCCCGGGGAGGUCCCGGUCCUUGCAGCCCGCGGCCGCGUCCUUGGCCCUCCUCCAGGGGAACCUCGAUUUUUCCAAUCUCAGGAAGGCCGGCUGUCCUUCGGCUACUGAUAAGGACGCGACCGCAUGGUAAAAGAUUUUAACAAUGCCCGGAAAGAAAUAGCCGGACCCAAGAAAGAGACUAAUAAUAGCAGCCCGCUAGAGUUCUGCUCGUGUGCUCAGCGCUCUUAAGAACAAUAAUAACGACAACAACCAUAAGAGCCACCAUUUAUUGAGCGCUUACUCUGUGCCAGGCACUGUGUUAAGCGUUUUGCAGGCAACAACCCUCGGAGAAGAGGCCACAAGACUGGUAAAUGGCAAUCUGGGCAUCCACCAGGAGGAUCUAACUUUAAUGCCAUGCUCCCAUCACCGGAAUGUACAAGCUGAUCCAACUGAACAGAGGAGGAACUGAUGUCCAGAAGUAAGCAGCCCAGGCUGGUACAGUAGCCCCGUGACCAUCAGGGACUCAGGCCCCUUCUACCUGGGGUUCUCCAUCGUCAGCGCAUGCCUUCCACUAGUGACCCAAGACCGCCAGUGGAGGAAGAAGCAGCAAAGAAGAGAGAGCCCUGUCUCCUCGAAGGAUGCUUCCUAGAAUUCACAUGCAUCACGCCUGCUUAUACCACGCUAGCCAGAACUAAGUCCCAUCCCGCCACCCCCAGGAAAUGGGAUUUAUCUGAAUAGAGCUUUUAUUACUAUAGAAAAAGGGAAGAACAGAUUUUGGGGGGCUAACUGGCAUCUCUGCCACAUUUUACAAACAUAUUUCCAGGGCACCUAGUUGUAUAUCCCAUUUUUUUCUUUUUUUGGUGAAUGUUUGACCACAUCAUUAAAUAUCCUUCCAUUUUUAAUGGCUGCUUCAUAUUCCAUAAUACGCAGGCUUAUCCUCUCUGC
Mirounga angustirostris (Northern elephant seal) is the source of this 1253-nucleotide long non-coding RNA. RefSeq lists it as uncharacterized. The record is from RefSeq and is a predicted model, not a curated record. NCBI's taxonomy places the organism in Eukaryota, Metazoa, Chordata, Mammalia, Carnivora, Phocidae. The transcript is spliced from 4 exons.